RNAcentral lists this ribosomal RNA (428 nucleotides) under Bacteroidota bacterium. Its description in RNAcentral is "Bacteroidetes bacterium partial 16S ribosomal RNA". It matches the Rfam family "Bacterial small subunit ribosomal RNA", at positions 355 to 776 of the family's 1533-position model. The record is from RNAcentral. Lineage: Bacteria; Pseudomonadati; Bacteroidota.
UAGGGAAUCUUCCGCAAUGGACGCAAGUCUGACGGAGCAACGCCGCGUGAGUGAAGAAGGAUUUCGGUUCGUAAAACUCUGUUGUUAGAGAAGAACAGCGCAUAGAGUAACUGUUAUGCGUGUGACGGUAUCUAACCAGAAAGCCACGGCUAACUACGUGCCAGCAGCCGCGGUAAUACGUAGGUGGCAAGCGUUGUCCGGAUUUAUUGGGCGUAAAGCGAGCGCAGGCGGUUAGAUAAGUCUGAAGUUAAAGGCAGUGGCUCAACCAUUGUAGGCUUUGGAAACUGUUUAACUUGAGUGCAGAAGGGGAGAGUGGAAUUCCAUGUGUAGCGGUGAAAUGCGUAGAUAUAUGGAGGAACACCGGUGGCGAAAGCGGCUCUCUGGUCUGUAACUGACGCUGAGGCUCGAAAGCGUGGGGAUCGAACAGG